Molecule: ribosomal RNA, 2241 nt
Filed under: Salmonella enterica
Lineage: Bacteria; Pseudomonadati; Pseudomonadota; Gammaproteobacteria; Enterobacterales; Enterobacteriaceae
Also listed under: 1 other name
Description: partial 23S ribosomal RNA
Rfam family: Bacterial large subunit ribosomal RNA
Source: RNAcentral
GGAGCACCCUUUGGGUGUGACUGCGUACCUUUUGUAUAAUGGGUCAGCGACUUAUAUUCUGUAGCAAGGUUAACCGAAUAGGGGAGCCGGAGGGAAACCGAGUCUUAACCGGGCGUUAAGUUGCAGGGUAUAGACCCGAAACCCGGUGAUCUAGCCAUGGGCAGGUUGAAGGUUGGGUAACACUAACUGGAGGACCGAACCGACUAAUGUUGAAAAAUUAGCGGAUGACCUGUGGCUGGGGGUGAAAGGCCAAUCAAACCGGGAGAUAGCUGGUUCUCCCCGAAAGCUAUUUAGGUAGCGCCUCGUGAAUUCAUCUCCGGGGGUAGAGCACUGUUUCGGCUAGGGGGCCAUCCCGGCUUACCAACCCGAUGCAAACUGCGAAUACCGGAGAAUGUUAUCACGGGAGACACACGGCGGGUGCUAACGUCCGUCGUGAAGAGGGAAACAACCCAGACCGCCAGCUAAGGUCCCAAAGUCAUGGUUAAGUGGGAAACGAUGUGGGAAGGCCCAGACAGCCAGGAUGUUGGCUUAGAAGCAGCCAUCAUUUAAAGAAAGCGUAAUAGCUCACUGGUCGAGUCGGCCUGCGCGGAAGAUGUAACGGGGCUAAACCAUGCACCGAAGCUGCGGCAGCGACACUGUGUGUUGUUGGGUAGGGGAGCGUUCUGUAAGCCUGUGAAGGUGUGUCGUGAGGCAUGCUGGAGGUAUCAGAAGUGCGAAUGCUGACAUAAGUAACGAUAAAGCGGGUGAAAAGCCCGCUCGCCGGAAGACCAAGGGUUCCUGUCCAACGUUAAUCGGGGCAGGGUGAGUCGACCCCUAAGGCGAGGCCGAAAGGCGUAGUCGAUGGGAAACGGGUUAAUAUUCCCGUACUUGGUGUUACUGCGAAGGGGGGACGGAGAAGGCUAUGUUGGCCGGGCGACGGUUGUCCCGGUUUAAGCGUGUAGGUGUGUGUUCCAGGUAAAUCCGGUUCACUUUAACACUGAGGCGUGACGACGAGGCACUACGGUGCUGAAGCAACAAAUGCCCUGCUUCCAGGAAAAGCCUCUAAGCAUCAGGUAACAUCAAAUCGUACCCCAAACCGACACAGGUGGUCAGGUAGAGAAUACCAAGGCGCUUGAGAGAACUCGGGUGAAGGAACUAGGCAAAAUGGUGCCGUAACUUCGGGAGAAGGCACGCUGACACGUAGGUGAAGUGAUUUACUCAUGGAGCUGAAGUCAGUCGAAGAUACCAGCUGGCUGCAACUGUUUAUUAAAAACACAGCACUGUGCAAACACGAAAGUGGACGUAUACGGUGUGACGCCUGCCCGGUGCCGGAAGGUUAAUUGAUGGGGUCAGCGCAAGCGAAGCUCCUGAUCGAAGCCCCGGUAAACGGCGGCCGUAACUAUAACGGUCCUAAGGUAGCGAAAUUCCUUGUCGGGUAAGUUCCGACCUGCACGAAUGGCGUAAUGAUGGCCAGGCUGUCUCCACCCGAGACUCAGUGAAAUUGAACUCGCUGUGAAGAUGCAGUGUACCCGCGGCAAGACGGAAAGACCCCGUGAACCUUUACUAUAGCUUGACACUGAACAUUGAGCCUUGAUGUGUAGGAUAGGUGGGAGGCUUUGAAGUGUGGACGCCAGUCUGCAUGGAGCCGACCUUGAAAUACCACCCUUUAAUGUUUGAUGUUCUAACGUGGACCCGUUACCCGGGUUGCGGACAGUGUCUGGUGGGUAGUUUGACUGGGGCGGUCUCCUCCUAAAGAGUAACGGAGGAGCACGAAGGUUGGCUAAUCCUGGUCGGACAUCAGGAGGUUAGUGCAAUGGCAUAAGCCAGCUUGACUGCGAGCGUGACGGCGCGAGCAGGUGCGAAAGCAGGUCAUAGUGAUCCGGUGGUUCUGAAUGGAAGGGCCAUCGCUCAACGGAUAAAAGGUACUCCGGGGAUAACAGGCUGAUACCGCCCAAGAGUUCAUAUCGACGGCGGUGUUUGGCACCUCGAUGUCGGCUCAUCACAUCCUGGGGCUGAAGUAGGUCCCAAGGGUAUGGCUGUUCGCCAUUUAAAGUGGUACGCGAGCUGGGUUUAGAACGUCGUGAGACAGUUCGGUCCCUAUCUGCCGUGGGCGCUGGAGAACUGAGGGGGGCUGCUCCUAGUACGAGAGGACCGGAGUGGACGCAUCACUGGUGUUCGGGUUGUCAUGCCAAUGGCACUGCCCGGUAGCUAAAUGCGGAAGAGAUAAGUGCUGAAAGCAUCUAAGCACGAAACUUGCCCCGA